RNAcentral lists this ribosomal RNA (449 nucleotides) under uncultured bacterium. RNAcentral describes it as "partial 16S ribosomal RNA". It matches the Rfam family "Bacterial small subunit ribosomal RNA", at positions 29 to 523 of the family's 1533-position model. The record is from RNAcentral.
AACGAACGCUGGCGGCAUGCCUAACACAUGCAAGUCGAACGAGAUCUUCGGGUCUAGUGGCGCACGGGUGCGUAACGCGUGGGAAUCUGCCCUUUGGUUCGGAAUAACAGUUGGGAACGACUGCUAAUACCGGAUGAUGACGAAAGUCCAAAGAUUUAUCGCCAGAGGAUGAGCCCGCGUAGGAUUAGCUAGUUGGGGUGGUAAAGGCGCACCAAGGCGACGAUCCUUAGCUGGUCUGAGAGGAUGAUCCGCCACACUGGGACUGAGACACGGCCCAGACUCCUACGGGAGGCAGCAGUGGGGAAUAUUGGACAAUGGGCGAAAGCCUGAUCCAGCAAUGCCGCGUGAGUGAUGAAGGCCUUAGGGUUGUAAAGCUCUUUUACCCGGGAUGAUAAUGACAGUACCGGGAGAAUAAGCUCCGGCUAACUCCGUGCCAGCAGCCGCGGUAA